CGCUGAAUGAGUCAACAAACGCUUUCUCCAGUGGCUCGCUACCGGAUUCUUCUGCUUGAUGGAAGACACACAGUUAGUUUUAUGGCGAUAGAGAAGAUGGAGACCAAAAGAAGAUGGAGUCUAUGAUUAUCUGGAACAAGAAACCUUUCCACCUUCUACCAUCCUAGUCACGUCCGUUGUGUCCCUGGGAAAGACACUUCACCCUUGCUCCUGAUGGGUCCUGGAUCGCCGGAGCCUGGCCUAGCUGCAUUUGGGUGGAAGGUGGCGUACACCCUGGAAAAGUCACCCCCUCAUCACAGGGCCAACACAGAUAGACAGACAACAUUCACACUCACAUUAUAGAGCGGUAUAGCUCGGUUGGUAGAGUGGCCGUGCCAGCAACUUGAGGGUUGCAGGUUCGAUCCCCGCUUCCGCCAUCCUAGUUACCGCCGUUGUGUCCUUGGGCAAGACACUUUACCCAGGGAUGGGAAUGAAGAUUUACAAAAUCAGCUGAAGAUUUUUUAAUCCUAAAACACUGCUUUGUGGAAGGCAGGCACUCACCUGCUAGGGAGGUCUGGGGGCAUGCCCCCCCAGAAAAAUUUUGAAAUCUAUGUUAGCUUAGGAUGCAUUUCCUGCUAUUUUGAGUCAAAAUCUGUUGUUAAUCUUCACCUUCAGUUUGAUAUAUAUAUCGAGCCAUCAAUCAAUCAAUCAAUGUUUACUUACAUAGCCUUAAAUUACUAGUGUCUCAAAGGGCCAUGCCCAGUUCCACUUGUUUCUCACGCCCUUAUCGAUAUCUUUCGCUAAUGAAGUAAUCCUAUCUUGAAUUAGCUUAAACAUGUCUGAAACUGUUUUGUCAAUAA
Molecule: long non-coding RNA, 839 nt
Organism: Nerophis ophidion (straightnose pipefish)
Lineage: Eukaryota; Metazoa; Chordata; Actinopteri; Syngnathiformes; Syngnathidae
Exons: 3
Source: RefSeq, a predicted model, not a curated record